GCAUCCUAGGACCCUAAUCUAACCUCAGGAGAUUCGAGUUUCAUUCUUAUUUUUGCUACAAUACUCACUCCAUGUGCAUCUUUUGUGUUUCUAAAUAUCGAAAUCAGAAUACAUGUCCAUAUCUGUUAGUGAAAUAGAGGAAGCUGUAACUGUAUAGUAUUUCCAGACAAUGAAUAUACAGUAGAUUUUGCAUGUAAUUUUUAUCUCCUUCCAUCAAGUGUAACAAUAUGUUGAAUCUGCCAUGGGCCUUUAAAGCUUCAAUGUUGUGAAGAGCUCUGCAUGAAAUUUUAAAGAGACUGGACCUUUCGUCUGCACAGCAGCAGGACUCCUCGCUGUAGGGACAAGAAAGGAAGAGACAGACAGAACAUUUCUGAAGUAAUAGUGAAAAAUAACAGCAGAAGCAAUUAUUUCAUCAAAGAUCCCAGGAGGAGGCUCCUCCAGGCUCCUGAGAGGCCACACACAGGGUCCCCAGCACAGCUUACUGCUUAGUGUCUCCUGUGCCAUGGAGGAAGACAUGUGGCAGGAGUACCCAGUGCUAAUAUGUGUUCAUGUCUGUGGCAAUGCUGACCAUCCGGCUGGUUUGAACCAGGAUAAAAGUGAAGAUGUCAUCUGUGAAGACCCAACUCUUUCUUUGGCUCUUCUGUGGAAUCCAUCUUUGUUCUGCUGUCCUCUGCUGCCCAGUGUCUACUUCUGUCAAGAUCUACUUGAAGAAGAAGAUCAGGCUGGGGGCGGUGGCUCACGCCUGUAAUCCCAGCACUUUGGAAGGCUGAGAUGGGAGGAUCACUUGAGGCCAGGAGUUCAAGACCAGCCUGGGUAAUGUGGUGAAGCCUUAUCGCUACAAGAAAAUACAAUAAUUAGCCAGGCAUGUUGGCACAUGCCUGCAGUUCCAGCUGCUUGGCAGCCUGAGGUCAGAGGAUCACUUGAGCCUGGGAGGUCGAAGCUGCAGUGAGUUGAGAUUGCACCACUGCACUCCAGCCUGGGCAACAGAGUGAGACACUGUUUUUUUUUUUUUUUUUUUUUUUUAAGGCUGGGUGCAGUGGUCCACGCCUGUAAUUCCAUCACUUUGGGAGGCUGAGGCGGGCAGAUCACCUGAGGUCAGGAGUUCGAGACCAGCCUGGCCAACAUAGUGAAACCAGCUCUACUAAAAAUACAAAAAUUAGCCAGGCAUGGUGGCACAUGCCUGUAGUCCCAGCUACUUUAAAGGCUGAGGCAGGAGAAUCGCUUGAACUUGGGAGGCCGAGGUUGGAGUGAGCUGAGAUCAUUGCGGCACUGCACUCCAGCCUGGGUGACAGAGUGAGACUCUUGUCUCAAAAAAAAAAAAAAAAAAAAAAAAAAAGAAAAGAAAGAGGAUUAGAUAAAUUCAUUCAUGUGGAGUAGAAUGUCUGAGGUUUACUUUUUGACCGUUUUCAGAAAAGAUUGGUGAAGGCACUAGAAGGUCAUGUCAUGAUUUCACAGAAGGUGAAGGUGCCCUGACUGCUUGGUAUUGGGAAAGGUAGGAAGAUGGGGUGGGGCAUGACAUCUACAAGGCUACUGUGAGAGGAUGCAGAGCGUAGCAGAGAGUGUACCGUCAUACGAUGUAAUCAGCACUGAUCAUGAGAGCUGUGGGCUGAGUGCGGGAGCUCAUGCCUGUAAUCCCAGCACUGGGAGACUCAAAAAAGCCAGAGGAUUUUUUGAGUCCAAGAGUUUGAGACCAGCCUGGGCAAUGUAGUGAGACCCCAUGUCUACAAAAACAUAAUAAUAAUGAGAACUAUAGUUAUUAUAAAGAGGAAGAGGGAUUCAGUCUAUGGCCCCCAAAAUAAAAAGAACAGAUGAGUGGAAGAUCUCAAGGAUGCAGAUUCCAGUUGGAUAGGAGGAAAAACAAUAUUCAAACAGAGCUUUCUAAAAAUUAAAUGGGCCAUCCCAGGAGAGGACUUUCCAGUCGUUGGUGUGGUUGUAUGUAAUUCAGAUCUGUCACUCCCAAACCAGGCACACGUCAGAAAAUCUGGGUGGGGGGCUCGUUAAAAAUACUCCAGUGUUUCUGACUUAGUAGGUCUGGAUGUGGCUCAGAACCUGUAUUUUUAUCAGCACCUGGGUUAUUCUGAGGCAGCUCGUCCAUGAACCAGCAUUUGGAAAUCACUUGUCCAUAUGACCACCUGAUGAAGACAUUAUGAAGGGAAGUGAGGUGUUGGGCAGAAGAUUGGGGAAAGAUUCAAUUUCAUUUCAUUAAAUAUAUUUUUAGAAUGUUUUUGGAACACGUGAUUCCUAUUCUCUUUUCCCAUUUUAUUAGGAAUGUUUUCAAACACACAAAAAGUUGAAAAAAUUUUAUAGUGAACACCCAUAUACCCACCACCUAGAUUCUCUUAUUGACAUUUUACUAUACUUAUUUUGUCACAUAUAUAUUGAGAUGAAGUUUACAUACAAUAAAAUGUACACACUUGAGUGUGGCGCUUCUAUGAUUAGGAAGGAUGAAAAUGUGCUUUGGAGACAAGGUGGGUGGGUGGAUGUUGAUGAGCAAGUAACAAGAUCAAUGGCUGGAAAGUUGAGAGAGGUGAGAGGAUGUGCAAGGUAUGUAUCAAAUUGGGCUAUUGAGGAGGACAUUUGAGAUGGAGAUAAAGUCUAUGCUUAUUAUGAUGAAUUCUCUAUUUGUGAAGUUGCCUAUUUGCAAAAAUUUCCUUUUUGCAACCACACCAAAGAUUGGAAAGUCCUCUCCUGGGUAGGCCCAUUGCAUUUUUAGGAAGUUCUAUUAGAAUGUUGUUUUUCUCCCCAUCCAACUAGAAUCCGCAUCCCUGAGAUCCUCCAAAUCAGUACUUGUGGUGCCUUUGCAGUCAUUUGCGGACAUGCAUAGAGCAAUGAAAAAUUUGUUGAUAAAAAUACAGAUUCUGAGCCCCAUCUAGAUCUACUAAGUCAGAAACACUGGAGUAUUUUUAACAAGCUUCCCACCCAGAUUUUCUGAUGUGUACCUGAUUUGGGAGUGACAGAUCUGAAUUACAUACAAGUCAAAGAUUGGAGAGUCCUCUCCUAGUUCGGCCCAUUUCAUUUUUAGAAAGCUCUAUUAGAAUGUUGUUUUUCCUCCCAUCCCACUAGAAUCUGCAUCCCUGAGAUCCCCCAAAUCAGUACUCAUGGUGCCUUUGCAGUUGUUUGUGGAUAAGCAUAGAGUGAUGAAGAAUUUGAGUUAUCCGACAUGAAUGUUCCCAGAUGAUGUUGAAUAAGGUAACGCUCUGUCUUCUUAUUUCAGCCCUUGUAAAUAAGUGUUUUUAAAUUUGCAAUCUGCUUAGUGCCAUAUUUUCCACAUUUUUGUGCUAUUUCCUAGUGAUUUUGCUGUUUAAAAUGCCUCCUUCCUCCGAAGCUUCGUAUUGAAGUGGUGUCCGGUAUUCCUAAGCAGAAGGCUGCGAAGUGUCUUACAGAGAAAAUAUGUGUGUUAGAUAAGCAUUGUUCAGGUAGGAGUUAAGGUGCUUUAGUUCUCAGUUCAAUGUUAAUGAAUCAAUAAUAUGUUAAAUAAGGUUUAUUUAAAUGAACACAUAAAGUAAGUUUAUGUCUUGAUUGAUAGAAACGUUGUGAUCAACAUUUGCAGGAACCCAACUCUGUAUUUCUCCUGGGAUCCAUGGUUCAGUGUUCCCUAAUUCAGUGUUUCCGUUAUGUUCAGUAGAACGUAACUACCAAUAAUAGAUUGUAACACCUUGGGUGGGUCAAAGAAAUGGAUUGGACACUUCAGUGUUUCUCAUCUUUGAAGCUCUGAUACUUGGAAUUUUCUUAGGCGCAGAUGUAUUUGCAAGAGCACACUGGCAAAUCCUAGGCUUUAGAGUGUGACGUUUUGUGGAAUAAUUAGUCUACUUGUAUGAGAAGUUGGCAGGCUAAACAUUCCAUUUAUUUAAACAUUCUGCUAAACUAAUAAUUUGGGGAUUAUGUUCUUUGAUUUCAUAGAUAUUUGUUGUGUGAAAAUGUGCUGCAUUUCUCUUAAAUAUAAUCCUAGUAGAAGAAUGGUUUACAUACCCGAUCAUACCACCUUUUUACUGUGGCUUUAUAUAGAGAUUUGUUUGUUUUCAUACCUUUCAAGAUUACUUCUUGUCCAGAGCCUGACUCCUGGAGCUGGAAUUAGAACUGGGUAUGCAGCUUAUGAGAAGGGGAUAAAGUGAUAGUUGUGGAACCAGAGAGAUAAAUAUGUCAGGGAACCUCAGACCUGGCCCCACCUACAGGUGUGUGAGGCCAGAAAGGUGAAGCUGAGCCCAGUGGGGAACAAGCAGCUGAGAGUGUGGAUGAAGGUCAAGGUUGAGUUCAGCAAUGGACUCCACAUCUUUUACUGCAGGCUCCCUCUUUUUGGGCCUGGGACCUAAAUGUAGCAGGUCAGAGCUGGACAUUCCUAGAUAUUUUUAUUAUUUUAACAUUAGUAACCAAAUAUUUGAUUAUGUGUCUGUUGUGUAUGAGAUAUAAAAUACAGACAUUACGGACCUUAUUUUGAAGGAUCGACAAUCUG
Macaca mulatta (Rhesus monkey) is the source of this 4450-nucleotide long non-coding RNA. The record is from Ensembl. Lineage: Eukaryota; Metazoa; Chordata; Mammalia; Primates; Cercopithecidae.